AAAAAAAAAACGUUUCGACAAAAAUUAAUUUAGUUCGGAUUUAUAGAGUCGCGGGAGCAGAUAUAUGCAUUAAAAAAAAGUCAUCAGAUCUCAAAACCAACAUAAAAUAAAAUAGAUGGUUCGUCAAUGUUAUAUAUCAAUCGUCCGGCCGUUUCGAUAUGAUAAAAUAGUAAGGGUGCGCUUAAAAAAAAAUAGUAGAGUAUUAUUUGUUUGGCGUGUGGCAUUUAUUAGUGCUCCACUACUCU
Non-coding RNA from Cinara cedri, 245 nucleotides. The record is from the annotation of a GenBank genome assembly. NCBI's taxonomy places the organism in Eukaryota, Metazoa, Arthropoda, Insecta, Hemiptera, Aphididae.